AACGAACGCUGGCGGCAUGCCUAACACAUGCAAGUCGAACGAGACCUUCGGGUCUAGUGGCGCACGGGUGCGUAACGCGUGGGAACCUGCCCUUAGGUUCGGAAUAACUCCCCGAAAGGGGUGCUAAUACCGGAUAAUGUCUUCGGACCAAAGAUUUAUCGCCUUUGGAUGGGCCCGCGUUGGAUUAGCUAGUUGGUAGGGUAAAAGCCUACCAAGGCGACGAUCCAUAGCUGGUCUGAGAGGAUGAUCAGCCACACUGGGACUGAGACACGGCCCAGACUCCUACGGGAGGCAGCAGUGGGGAAUAUUGGACAAUGGGCGAAAGCCUGAUCCAGCAAUGCCGCGUGAGUGAUGAAGGCCUUAGGGUUGGAAAGCUCUUUUACCCGGGAUGAUAAUGACAGUACCGGGAGAAUAAGCUCCGGCUAACUCCGUGC
This 434-nucleotide ribosomal RNA is filed under the name uncultured bacterium. RNAcentral describes it as "partial 16S ribosomal RNA". It matches the Rfam family "Bacterial small subunit ribosomal RNA", at positions 29 to 508 of the family's 1533-position model. The record is from RNAcentral.